RNAcentral lists this ribosomal RNA (253 nucleotides) under uncultured bacterium. RNAcentral's name for it is "partial 16S ribosomal RNA". It matches the Rfam family "Bacterial small subunit ribosomal RNA", at positions 524 to 776 of the family's 1533-position model. The record is from RNAcentral.
UACGUAGGGUGCGAGCGUUAAUCGGAAUUACUGGGCGUAAAGUGUGCGCAGGUGGCCGCGCAAGUCGAGUGUGAAAUCCCCGAGCUUAACUUGGGAAUUGCGCUCGAAACUACGUGGCUCGAGUGUGGCAGAGGAAGGUGGAAUUCCACGUGUAGCGGUGAAAUGCGUAGAUAUCUGGAGGAACACCGGUGGCGAAGGCGGCAUCCUGGACCGGUAUUGACACUGAGGCGCGAAAGCCAGGGGAGCAAACGGG